GACGGAAGGUGCAAGCGUUGCUCGGAAUCACUGGGCGUAAAGGGUGCGUAGGCGGCCGUGCAAGUCUGGCGUGAAAGCCCCGGGCUCAGCCCGGGAAGUGCGCUCGAAACUGCGCGGCUCGAGUGCCGGAGGGGAGAGUGGAAUUCCUGGUGUAGCGGUGAAAUGCGUAGAUAUCAGGAGGAAUACCGGUGGCGAAGGCGGCCACCUGGACGAACACUGACGCUGAGGUGCGAAAGCGUGGGUAGCAAACAGG
Molecule: ribosomal RNA, 253 nt
Filed under: uncultured bacterium
Lineage: Bacteria
Description: partial 16S ribosomal RNA
Rfam family: Bacterial small subunit ribosomal RNA
Source: RNAcentral